This 39-nucleotide transfer RNA is filed under the name Octomeria gracilis. Its description in RNAcentral is "partial tRNA-His". The record is from RNAcentral. RNAcentral also lists the same sequence under 15 other names. Lineage: Eukaryota; Viridiplantae; Streptophyta; Magnoliopsida; Asparagales; Orchidaceae.
GCGGAUGUAGCCAAGUGGAUCAAGGCAGUGGAUUGUGAU